RNAcentral lists this ribosomal RNA (570 nucleotides) under Xylariaceae sp. CHTAR12. RNAcentral describes it as "eukaryotic LSU rRNA". It matches the Rfam family "Eukaryotic large subunit ribosomal RNA", at positions 54 to 648 of the family's 3401-position model. The record is from RNAcentral. Lineage: Eukaryota; Fungi; Ascomycota; Sordariomycetes; Xylariales; Xylariaceae.
AGCAAAAGAAACCAACAGGGAUUGCCCUAGUAACGGCGAGUGAAGCGGCAACAGCUCAAAUUUGAAAUCUGGCCUUCGGGUCCGAGUUGUAAUUUGCAGAGGAUGCUUUUGGCGCGGUGCCUUCCGAGUUCCCUGGAACGGGACGCCUUAGAGGGUGAGAGCCCCGUACGGUUGGACACCAAGCCUCUGUAAAGCUCCUUCGACGAGUCGAGUAGUUUGGGAAUGCUGCUCUAAAUGGGAGGUAAAUUUCUUCUAAAGCUAAAUACCGGCCAGAGACCGAUAGCGCACAAGUAGAGUGAUCGAAAGAUGAAAAGCACUUUGAAAAGAGGGUUAAAUAGCACGUGAAAUUGUUGAAAGGGAAGCGUUUACGGCCAGACCUUUUCCUGGCGGAUCAUCUGGUGUUCUCACCAGUGCACUUCGCCAGGUUUAGGCCAGCAUCGGCUUCUGUAGGGGGAUAAAAGCAGUGGGAAAGUAGCUCCCUCGGGAGUGUUAUAGCCCUAAGCAUAAUACCCUUACGGGGGCCGAGGACCGCGCUCUUGCAAGGAUGCUGGCGUAAUGGUCGUCAACGAC